CUGCCUGAAGGGGCAGCUGGCAGAGAGGGACAAGCUGGUGCCUGGCACCAGCAGGCCAUGGUCUGCGUAUCUGUUAUCUGCAGCAGACAGUCCCACACUCUGCCUCGCCCCGUGGAGCAGCUCUGCAGGCUGGGAGAGGACCCAGCGCGGUCCCAGGUCUGGGACAAGAUCUGGGACCAGCCCUGCAGAGUGGCAAUUCGAUGGCGGCUGCCCACCUUCGCAGGGGUCCUGACCGCUGCCUCCAGCUCAAUCCCAGGCCCUGAGAGCAGCUGCUGGGCAAGAGUCUGUGUCUGUAUGAGGGUGGCUGCUGGGCGGGGCGGGGUGGGGCAGCGAGGCAGCAAAUUGCAAGGUCUGAGUAUGAGCCAAGAGGGUCUGAGCAGUGUCUGCAGCCUCUGGUAUGAACGGUGAGGGACAGCUUGGGCCACCUUCUAAGGCCAGUGUGGGUCUGACGGGCCAGGAGCUCCGCUCCCAGCCCAGUACCAGGCACAGAGCCGGCUGGGCAUUGUUUGGGGCCGGCCACCCUGCCCCUCAGUGAGGCUCUUCCGGGGCCAGUACCUGCGGGCCCCAAGUUCCGAUUUCCGGGGCUGGGUUUACACAGCCCUGCAGUGGUUUUGGGGGGGGUGGCAGCCAGGACCUCCCGGGUAAGGACGGGGACUUGCGCUGUGUCAUCUCUCUACCAGGCCUGGGCCCCCAAAACCGCUUCUCUGUGCCCUGCUCCCUGGAAGCGGGGGCUGUGUGAACUAGCGUGGGUCUGAGUGUGCAGCGAGGGACACACUCGCACGCCCAGUGCUGGUGCGCACCUGCAGCGGUCUGCUCGCGCCUGCGCAGCCCCGACCUUCAGGCCUGGCCGCUGCCUUGCCCGCUGCGGCCGACAGAGGGCGCCAGGGGACAGGGCUGAGCUCGGUGCUCCGAGGAGAUCGAUGGUUAGAGCCUUCUCCGUGGACGGCGGGCGUGACAGCAGGGCACAGUCUCUCCUGGUGGCGUUGGGGUGGACGCCGGGAGAGGCCUGCCCUGGCCCUUUGCCUUCUCACGGGCUGGUGGAGUACAGGACGGGUGUGGGGUGUUUCCGGGCCCACGUGUAGCCAGAGGAUCCCUCCCCUCCUCUCUGGGGUCACUUCGGUGCCCCUCCUGUGGUCCAGCAGGGCUUGGACACGUGUUUCUGCUCCUGCUGUACAGAGAAGGUGAGAAAGCUGCAGCCAACUUCGGCAGGAAUCGCCCACUGUGGAGGCCUUGGUCUGUUCCUGGGAAGCGAGGCUUCUUGGAAGGCAUGGCUGCUGCAGGCUCCUGAGACACAAGAAGCCAGGCAACGCCAGGGUGGUGGCCGAGUCCUGCAGCGCCUCACUGCCUCGCACUCCGUCCACCCCGCAGGACUUCACAUGAAGACUGGCAUGGAUAAACAUCUGGGACUGACACUCUAACAGGAAUCCAUCACCUUGAGGAAGCCAGGAAGAGCACUGACCCAGCUCCCUACAGGAAGAGUUGCUGGUCUUUCACGCCUUCUUGCUGCCUGACUUGCUUCCCCAUUCGAUCCCCAUUUAAUCAGUUUUACCUGAGCAGUUAUGUUUGCAAUCUUAUCUAUUAACCAUAGUUUUGUCCCACCUCCUGCCCACCUUGCAAUUUCCCAUUUUUCCCCACCUUUGACCCACCUCACCUCAUGGGUUUGCUCUAUAAAAAUCCCUACAAAGGCUGGGUCCUUGGCAUCCUGCUCGGGACUCCUUCUGACUCUCUCUUGGACAAAAGCUUUCUUUCCCCCAAUCAAUAUAUUCUAAAAUUCACUCUUCAAUUUUAGAGAACACGAACUCGUACCA
This is a long non-coding RNA of Cavia porcellus (domestic guinea pig), 1808 nucleotides long. RefSeq lists it as uncharacterized. The record is from RefSeq and is a predicted model, not a curated record. Lineage: Eukaryota; Metazoa; Chordata; Mammalia; Rodentia; Caviidae. The transcript has 2 exons.